UACGAAGGGGGCUAGCGUUGCUCGGAAUUACUGGGCGUAAAGGGCGCGUAGGCGGCACUGUUAGUCAGGCGUGAAAUUCCUGGGCUCAACCUGGGGACUGCGCUUGAUACGGCAGAGCUUGAGGAUGGAAGAGGGUCGCGGAAUUCCCAGUGUAGAGGUGAAAUGCGUAGAUAUCCGGAGGAACACCGGUGGCGAAGGCGGCUUCCUGGACCGAUUACUGACGCUGAGGCGCGAAAGCUAGGGGAGCAAACGGG
Molecule: ribosomal RNA, 254 nt
Filed under: uncultured bacterium
Lineage: Bacteria
Description: partial 16S ribosomal RNA
Rfam family: Bacterial small subunit ribosomal RNA
Source: RNAcentral